CCAAUAGCGUAUAUUAAAGUUGUUGCAGUUAAAAAGCUCGUAGUUGAAUUUCGGAAUCAAUAUGUUGGUCGUGCCAUUGGUACGUACUGGCAUUAUUGGUUUCUACCUUCUGAAGAACCUCGAUGUCAUUAAUUUGGUGUCUUGGGGAAUCGGGCCUGUUACUUUGAAAAAAUUAGAGUGUUUAAAGCAGGCUCGCGCUUGAAUACAUUAGCAUGGAAUAAUGAAAUAGGACGUUUGAUUCUAUUUUGUUGGUUUCUAGGAUCGACGUAAUGAUUAAUAGGGAUAGUUGGGGGCAUUAGUAUUCAAUUGUCAGAGGUGAAAUUCUUGGAUUUAUUGAAGACUAACUACUGCGAAAGCAUUUGCCAAGGAUGUUUUCAUUAAUCAAGAACGAAAGUUAGGGGAUCGAAGACGAUCAGAUACCGUCGUAGUCUUAACCAUAAACUAUGCCGACUAGGGAUCGGAUGAUGUUAAUUUUUUAAUGACUCAUUCGGCGCCUUACG
This 500-nucleotide ribosomal RNA is filed under the name uncultured Glomeromycotina. RNAcentral's name for it is "partial small subunit ribosomal RNA". It matches the Rfam family "Eukaryotic small subunit ribosomal RNA", at positions 591 to 1092 of the family's 1831-position model. Lineage: Eukaryota; Fungi; Glomeromycota. The record is from RNAcentral.